RNAcentral lists this ribosomal RNA (330 nucleotides) under uncultured Eubacteriales bacterium. Its description in RNAcentral is "bacterial SSU rRNA". It matches the Rfam family "Bacterial small subunit ribosomal RNA", at positions 1050 to 1382 of the family's 1533-position model. The record is from RNAcentral. Lineage: Bacteria; Bacillati; Bacillota; Clostridia; Eubacteriales.
UGUCGUCAGCUCGUGUCGUGAGAUGUUGGGUUAAGUCCCGCAACGAGCGCAACCCUAUCCUCAGUUGCCAUCAUUAAGUUGGGCACUCUGUGGAGACUGCCGGUGUCAAACCGGAGGAAGGUGGGGAUGACGUCAAGUCCUCAUGGCCCUUAUGACCAGGGCUACACACGUGCUACAAUGGUCGGUACAACGAGAAGCAAGCCAGCGAUGGCAAGCAAAUCUCUAAAAGCCGAUCCCAGUUCGGAUUGCAGGCUGCAACUCGCCUGCAUGAAGUCGGAGUUGCUAGUAAUCGCGGAUCAGAAUGCCGCGGUGAAUGCGUUCCCGGGUCUU